RNAcentral lists this ribosomal RNA (493 nucleotides) under Entamoeba histolytica. RNAcentral describes it as "SSU rRNA". It matches the Rfam family "Eukaryotic small subunit ribosomal RNA", at positions 1 to 500 of the family's 1831-position model. The record is from RNAcentral. Lineage: Eukaryota; Evosea; Mastigamoebida; Endamoebidae.
UAUCUGGUUGAUCCUGCCAGUAUUAUAUGCUGAUGUUAAAGAUUAAGCCAUGCAUGUGUAAGUAUAAAGACCAAGUAGGAUGAAACUGCGGACGGCUCAUUAUAACAGUAAUAGUUUCUUUGGUUAGUAAAAUACAAGGAUAGCUUUGUGAAUGAUAAAGAUAAUACUUGAGACGAUCCAGUUUGUAUUAGUACAAAAUGGCCAAUUCAUUCAAUGAAUUGAGAAAUGACAUUCUAAGUGAGUUAGGAUGCCACGACAAUUGUAGAACACACAGUGUUUAACAAGUAACCAAUGAGAAUUUCUGAUCUAUCAAUCAGUUGGUAGUAUCGAGGACUACCAAGAUUAUAACGGAUAACGAGGAAUUGGGGUUCGACAUCGGAGAGGGAGCUUUACAGAUGGCUACCACUUCUAAGGAAGGCAGCAGGCGCGUAAAUUACCCACUUUCGAAUUGAAGAGGUAGUGACGACACAUAACUCUAGAGUUGAGUAAAAUC